RNAcentral lists this unclassified non-coding RNA (253 nucleotides) under uncultured Gemmatimonadota bacterium. RNAcentral describes it as "uncultured Gemmatimonadetes bacterium contains 16S-23S intergenic spacer region". It matches the Rfam family "Bacterial small subunit ribosomal RNA", at positions 524 to 776 of the family's 1533-position model. The record is from RNAcentral. Lineage: Bacteria; Pseudomonadati; Gemmatimonadota.
GACGGAGGGCGCAAGCGUUGUUCGGAAUUACUGGGCGUAAAGCGCGCGCAGGCGGUCUUCUAAGUCCUUUGUGAAAUCCCGGGGCUCAACUCCGGUUGUGCAGAGGAUACUGGAAGACUAGAGAUCGGUAGAGGCUAGCGGAAUUCCUGGUGUAGCGGUGGAAUGCGUAGAUAUCAGGAGGAACAUCAGUGGCGAAGGCGGCUAGCUGGGCCGGUUCUGACGCUCAUGUGCGAAAGCGUGGGGAGCAAACAGG